This 440-nucleotide ribosomal RNA is filed under the name uncultured Sulfurospirillum sp. RNAcentral's name for it is "bacterial SSU rRNA". It matches the Rfam family "Bacterial small subunit ribosomal RNA", at positions 338 to 795 of the family's 1533-position model. The record is from RNAcentral. Lineage: Bacteria; Pseudomonadati; Campylobacterota; Epsilonproteobacteria; Campylobacterales; Sulfurospirillaceae.
CCUACGGGAGGCUGCAGUGGGGAAUAUUGCACAAUGGAGGAAACUCUGAUGCAGCAACGCCGCGUGGAGGAUGACGCAUUUCGGUGUGUAAACUCCUUUUAUAGGGGAAGAUAAUGACGGUACCCUAUGAAUAAGCACCGGCUAACUCCGUGCCAGCAGCCGCGGUAAUACGGAGGGUGCAAGCGUUACUCGGAAUCACUGGGCGUAAAGGAUGCGUAGGCUGGAAAUCAAGUCGAAAGUGAAAUCCAACGGCUCAACCGUUGAACUGCUUUCGAAACUGGUUACCUAGAAUAUGGGAGAGGUAGAUGGAAUUAGUGGUGUAGGGGUAAAAUCCGUAGAUAUCACUAGGAAUACCGAUUGCGAAGGCGAUCUACUGGAACAUUAUUGACGCUGAGGCAUGAAAGCGUGGGGAGCAAACAGGAUUAGAUACCCCAGUAGUC